AAACAUGGUGGUUUGUUUAUUAAUUUAACAUCGGGCCUGCCCACUGAAAUUGAAGGGCCGCAGUAUAUUGACUGUGCAAAGGUAGCAUAAUCAUUAGGUUCUUAAUUAGGAUCUGGUAUGAAGGGUUUGACGAAAUACUAACUGUCUCUGCUUAAUAGAUUUAAGUUAACUUUUUAGUAAAAAGGCUAAUAUUUUGAUGAGGGACGAGAAGACCCUAUAGAGCUUGAUACUUAUUUUGUAAUAUCUGGUUGGAUUUUGGGAAGUUGUUACUAAAUUAAUUGUUUUACUGGGGCGGUAUAAAGAUAAUUCUAACUCUUGUUUUGUAUAUAAAAAUGAUUAGUUAAUUGAAUCAUUGUAAUUGAUUUUAGAUAAAGUUACCUUAGGGAUAACAGCGUAAUUUGUUUGGAGAGUUCAUAUUGAUAAACGUGUUUGCGACCUCGAUGUUGAAUUAAGAUUUCAAGGGAAUGGAGCAGUUUCUGUUGAGAGUCUGUUCGACUCUAAAAUUCUUACGUGAUCUGAG
This 520-nucleotide ribosomal RNA is filed under the name Myrmecophilus kinomurai. RNAcentral describes it as "partial 16S ribosomal RNA". It matches the Rfam family "Bacterial large subunit ribosomal RNA", at positions 1811 to 2609 of the family's 2925-position model. Lineage: Eukaryota; Metazoa; Arthropoda; Insecta; Orthoptera; Myrmecophilidae. The record is from RNAcentral.